Molecule: ribosomal RNA, 407 nt
Filed under: uncultured bacterium
Lineage: Bacteria
Description: partial 16S ribosomal RNA
Rfam family: Bacterial small subunit ribosomal RNA
Source: RNAcentral
AUUGAACGCUGGCGGCAGGCCUAACACAUGCAAGUCGAGCGGAGCGGCGGACGGGUGAGUAAUGCCUAGGAAUCUGCCUGGUAGUGGGGGCUAACGUCCGGAAACGGGCGCUAAUACCGCAUAAUAUCAGAUGAGCCUAGGUCGGCUUAGCUAGGUGGUGGGGUAAAGGCUUACCAAGGCGACGAUCCGUAACUGGUCUGAGAGGAUGAUCAGUCACACUGGAACUGAGACACGGUCCAGAAUCCUACGGGAGGCAGCAGUAGGGAAUAUUGGACAAUGGGCGAAAGCCUGAUCCAGCCAUGCCGGGUGUGUGAAGAAGGUCUUCGGAUGGUAAAGCACUUUAAGUUGGGAAGCGUUACCAACAGAAUAAGCACCGGCUAACUUCGUGCCAGCAGCCGCGGUAAUAC